Molecule: transfer RNA, 72 nt
Filed under: Camelus bactrianus (Bactrian camel)
Lineage: Eukaryota; Metazoa; Chordata; Mammalia; Artiodactyla; Camelidae
Also listed under: 2 other names
Rfam family: tRNA
About the family: Transfer RNA (tRNA) molecules are approximately 80 nucleotides in length. Their secondary structure includes four short double-helical elements and three loops (D, anti-codon, and T loops). Further hydrogen bonds mediate the characteristic L-shaped molecular structure. tRNAs have two regions of fundamental functional importance: the anti-codon, which is responsible for specific mRNA codon recognition, and the 3' end, to which the tRNAs corresponding amino acid is attached (by aminoacyl-tRNA synthetases). tRNAs cope with the degeneracy of the genetic code in two manners: having more than one tRNA (with a specific anti-codon) for a particular amino acid; and 'wobble' base-pairing, i.e. permitting non-standard base-pairing at the 3rd anti-codon position.
Source: Rfam by way of RNAcentral
GAGGUUAUAGCUCAGUGGUAGAGUGCAUGCUUAGCAUGCACAGGGUCCUGGGUUCAAUCCCCAGUACCUCCA